Molecule: long non-coding RNA, 832 nt
Organism: Venturia canescens
Lineage: Eukaryota; Metazoa; Arthropoda; Insecta; Hymenoptera; Ichneumonidae
Exons: 3
Source: RefSeq, a predicted model, not a curated record
CAUGCGAGUGACCGACUAGAGAAACGUCAUUUGACCCACCUAUGCAUCCCCUGGGACCCCCGCUGAACGAAACAUUUGCACAGUGGUGUCGUUCUUCAGAAUUUUCGGGAAGAAACCUCUCAGGAAUGAAUUUAUCAGUGUCCUCCACCAGCGCAGAUUCGGUUCAGUAAAAUAUUGAGCAAUAAAUUUGGGUGAAAAUGAGGUCAACGCUCGUAAGCUCAAAUAAGAACGAACCUGUACAGCGGGGUGCAUUCCUAGCAUCAAAAAUGCGAACGAACUGAUGACUCCCGUCGUAUCUUGAGCCUUCGAAGCCAUGAAAAAAAGAUAAAGUCUGAGGAAUAGCGGAGAACUCUUUUGUUAUGGAAAUUUCUCAAGAUAAUUUAUAACUCGUCGAAUGAAAAGCAGAAAUCGUCACCAUGACACGAGGUCUCUCAGGAUUUUUUUCUCCCCUUUCGAACUCGUAGUGCUCAGCUUUCUUUCGGACAAUUGCCUGCGACAGCAAGAAAAACCUUUUUCUUCAUACCUCGGUCGAAAGUACGCACUUUCGGCCCCGAUUUCAGGGCCGAAAGUUCAACAUUCCUGCAUUGGUAAAAAAAAAAACACGCUCGCUGUGACAGCGGGAGCAAAAAUUUUUCUCUGCACACCUUAGUCGAAAGAUAACAUUUCUGCGCUGUCAAAACUGCAUGCGCUUCAUUUGUCUCGGCGGGAGCAAAAACUUUUUUCUGCAUUCCGAAAGGUUUGACGUAAUUAUUUUUUUUACUUUUGACGUUUGACGUUUGAACAGAUAUUGCUUACGUGUUUUUUGAAAGGUUGUGUCUAGUCAUCUGCAAAC